CAGAAUUCCGCGAAUCAUCGAGUUAUUUGAACGCAAGUUGCGCCCGAGGCUCGUCCGAGGGCAUUCCUGCCUGAGCGUCAU
Molecule: ribosomal RNA, 81 nt
Filed under: Pogonatum semipellucidum
Lineage: Eukaryota; Viridiplantae; Streptophyta; Polytrichopsida; Polytrichales; Polytrichaceae
Description: partial 5.8S ribosomal RNA
Rfam family: 5.8S ribosomal RNA
About the family: 5.8S ribosomal RNA (5.8S rRNA) is a component of the large subunit of the eukaryotic ribosome.
Source: RNAcentral